Molecule: ribosomal RNA, 507 nt
Filed under: uncultured bacterium
Lineage: Bacteria
Description: bacterial SSU rRNA
Rfam family: Bacterial small subunit ribosomal RNA
Source: RNAcentral
AAUGAACGCUGGCGGCGUGCCUAACACAUGCAAGUCGUACGAGAAAGGGGCUUCGGCCCUGAGUAGAGUGGCGCACGGGUGAGUAACGCGUGGGUAAUCUCCCCUUGGAUUUGGGAUAACUCUGCGAAAGUGGAGCUAAUACCGGAUAGUCUGGCUUUAAUUGAUAAGUCGGUAAAGGAUGCCUCUGCAUAUGCAUUCGUCCAAGGAUGAGCCCGCGUCUCAUUAGCUAGUUGGUAGGGUAAUGGCCUACCAAGGCAACGAUGAGUAGCUGGUCUGAGAGGAUGAUCAGCCACACUGGAACUGAAACACGGUCCAGACUCCUACGGGAGGCAGCAGUGGGGAAUAUUGCGCAAUGGGCGAAAGCCUGACGCAGCAACGCCGUGUGAGGGAUGAAGGCUUUCGGGUCGUAAACCGUCUGUCGGAAGGGAAGAACGGGCAAGGGUCUAAUAGGCCUUGUUUGACGGUACCUUUAGUAGGAAGCACCGGCUAACUCCGUGCCAGCAGCCG